RNAcentral lists this ribosomal RNA (253 nucleotides) under uncultured bacterium. Its description in RNAcentral is "partial 16S ribosomal RNA". It matches the Rfam family "Bacterial small subunit ribosomal RNA", at positions 524 to 776 of the family's 1533-position model. The record is from RNAcentral.
UACGGAGGGUGCAAGCGUUAUCCGGAUUCACUGGGUUUAAAGGGUGCGUAGGUGGGCUGGUAAGUCAGUGGUGAAAUCUCCGAGCUUAACUUGGAAACUGCCAUUGAUACUAUCAGUCUUGAAUAUUGUGGAGGUCAGCGGAAUAUGUCAUGUAGCGGUGAAAUGCUUAGAGAUGACAUAGAACACCAAUUGCGAAGGCAGCUGACUACGCAUAUAUUGACACUGAGGCACGAAAGCGUGGGGAUCAAACAGG